GCGCCUGUAGCUCACUUGGAUAGAGCAUCUGCCUUCUAAGCAGAAUGUAGCAGGUUCGAUUCCUGCCAGGCGCA
RNAcentral lists this transfer RNA (74 nucleotides) under Candidatus Omnitrophota bacterium. RNAcentral describes it as "Candidatus Omnitrophica bacterium tRNA-Arg". It matches the Rfam family "tRNA". From Rfam's summary of the family: Transfer RNA (tRNA) molecules are approximately 80 nucleotides in length. Their secondary structure includes four short double-helical elements and three loops (D, anti-codon, and T loops). Further hydrogen bonds mediate the characteristic L-shaped molecular structure. tRNAs have two regions of fundamental functional importance: the anti-codon, which is responsible for specific mRNA codon recognition, and the 3' end, to which the tRNAs corresponding amino acid is attached (by aminoacyl-tRNA synthetases). tRNAs cope with the degeneracy of the genetic code in two manners: having more than one tRNA (with a specific anti-codon) for a particular amino acid; and 'wobble' base-pairing, i.e. permitting non-standard base-pairing at the 3rd anti-codon position. Lineage: Bacteria; Pseudomonadati; Candidatus Omnitrophota. The record is from RNAcentral.